UCUGCUGAGUGGCUGGCAUUAUCCUCAGAACUUCUCUAUGUCUUCUCCCUAGAGCAAGCUGUGGGUUUUGCAUAGUAUCCCUGUUCUUGCCCCGAAGAACCUGAGGCCCGGAGAGUGAUGCUGAGGUGGGCAGACGGUGAGGCCGAUGCUCCUUCCUCAGGGCUGUAAUUAAAACAGGGGACUUAGGAGCUGGCAGAAUCCUUGGGAAUCAUUUUGUCUGACCUCCUUAUUGGAGACACCAUGGCCAGUGAUAGUUGAUAAUUUACCAAACCCCAAAUUCCUUAGUGGUGAAGUAGAAAAAAGAGAGUAGAUUUCUGGUUUCUAAUCCAGAUCUCUUUUCCUCUGUAUGCUGUAAAUAAGGUGCAAACAAACAAAAAACAUCAACCAGAAAAAUUUAAAAGCCAAAGAGAAAUCAUUUUGGAAUAUAGUAGAAUCACUUCUCUCCAUAACUGACUAUAAUGAAAGAACAGGUAGACUCCUGUUCAAAUGAAUACUGUUAGAACAUCUGGUCUUAUAAAAUGAGCCUAUUUACAUGUGCUGACAGAUGGCCCACAGCGAAAAUGCUUUGUUAGUCUGAUUACAACAAAUCCUAAUAAACCCGAAUCCUCUCUCAGGUGCCUUCCUCAGCCCCCAUUUGUGCGAGAGGCAAUCUCUAUUACAAGGACCUUGGCCCGCUGGAAGGAGGCUGACAGCUGCAGAGGCAGAGACUCAGUGAAAAGUGGAGAGCUCCAAAGUCCCAGGACCCAUCUUGGAACUCAGCCACCACGUUGUGAGGAAGCCCAAGCCACAUGGAGGGGCCGCUGCAGGUGCACCAGUCCAGAGUCUCAGCUGAGGCUUCAGAAGACAGCCAACAUCUACUGUGAUGAUGCCCAGAUCAUACCAGUCCCCAGAGGUCAAGUUAUCUCAACAUACAGGUCUUUCCAGAUGAUAACCCAGUAAUUUUGGAACAGAGGCAAUCCAGCUCCUAUGUUCUGCUUAGAUGCCUGACCCACAGAGUCCAUGAGCAUAAUGAAAUAUUUGUUUAUGUCACUAAGCUGUGGUAUAGUUUUUUACUCACUUUUCUUUAUGAGUUUGCACAGGGAGAGAGAAUUAAGGUACUCAGAUGCCAGACCCUGAAGAUAAGGUGCUUUGUUAUGAGAAGGAAUUCUCUUUCCAGACAUUUAUAAUUUAAGGUAUGUUGAUGUAUUUAGUGCCUGAAUGUCUUAGCGUGGUAUUUCUAUGUGUUUUAUACGGUUUGUCUUUCUCUCCUCCCCAGCACUACAACCAACAUAUGUACAAACAAACUCGUGUCACCAGAAAUUGUAAGUGACAUCUGCAAGGAGAGAGAUUGAGAGAGAGAGAGAGAGAGAAAAGAGGGAGACAGAGAGAAAAGAGAAAGAGAUACAGAGAGAAACAGAUGAAGAUGAACAGGGACAGGGAGAGAGAGGCAGAGAGAAAUAGAGACCGAGAGAGAUUCAUUUAUUCUGUAAACAUCCACAUCACUUUACUUAACCUCUUUUGGUACUCGGCCUUUCAAUUUUGUAAUACGACCAAUGAGGAAUUUCGGCAAGUCUCAUAUCCAGGAGACCUAGGAGCUUAUGAAGUCCUUGUCCAUCAGUGGCUGUGCAUUCACUGGUUCCUGGCAUGGUAUCUGGCCUUGAGUGUAGACAGUCAGCCUUGGAGAAUGUUUACUAAAUGCACAGUGAAGGGAGCAUGUGCGUCUCACCUUCCUGGCUACCUUAGUUCUCAUGAUAUCCUCAGAGGAGCUCUUUCUAAUAAUGGCUAUUUGUUAUUUCCAAGGGUGUGCUACAUUUUGCAUUUGUUUAACAUCCCGAAAUUGUUACAUAAUACGUUUAUUACAUUAUAAUCUCCUUCGUGUCUCUGGU
Chlorocebus sabaeus (green monkey) is the source of this 1865-nucleotide long non-coding RNA. RefSeq lists it as uncharacterized. The record is from RefSeq and is a predicted model, not a curated record. Lineage: Eukaryota; Metazoa; Chordata; Mammalia; Primates; Cercopithecidae.